RNAcentral lists this ribosomal RNA (510 nucleotides) under uncultured bacterium. RNAcentral's name for it is "partial 16S ribosomal RNA". It matches the Rfam family "Bacterial small subunit ribosomal RNA", at positions 28 to 507 of the family's 1533-position model. The record is from RNAcentral.
GACGAACGCUGGCGGCGUGCUUAACACAUGCAAGUCGAACGAAGAGCGAUGGAAGCUUGCUUCUAUCACUCUUAGUGGCGAACGGGUGAGUAACGCGUAAUCAACCUGCCCUUCAGAGGGGGACAACAGUUGGAAACGACUGCUAAUACCGCAUACGAUCUAAUCUCGGCAUCGAGGAUAGAUGAAAGGUGGCCUCUACAUGUAAGCUAUCACUUCAGGAGGGGAUUGCGUCUGAUUAGCUAGUUGGAGGGGUAACGGCCCACCAAGGCGAUGAUCAGUAGCCGGUCUGAGAGGAUGAACGGCCACAUUGGGACUGAGACACGGCCCAGACUCCUACGGGAGGCAGCAGUGGGGAAUCUUCCGCAAUGGACGAAAGUCUGACGGAGCAACGCCGCGUGAGUGAUGACGGCCUUCGGGUUGUAAAGCUCUGUUAAUCGGGACGAAAGGCCUUCUUGCGAAUAGUGAGAAGGAUUGACGGUACCGGAAUAGAAAGCCACGGCUAACUACGUG